CAUGCAAGUCGAACGCAGUAGCAAUACUGAGUGGCAGACGGGUGAGUAACAUGUGGGAAUCUGCCUUGUGGUUCAGGACAACAUUGGGAAGCCGAUGCUAAUACUGGAUAAGCCCUUACGGGGAAAGUUUUAAUGCCAUAAGAUGAGCCCGCAUUUGAUUAGUUAGUUGGUGAGGUAAUGGCUCACCAAGACAAUGAUCAAUAGCUGAUCUGAGAGGAUGAUCAGCCACACUGGGACUGAGACACGGCCCAGACUCCUACGGGAGGCAGCAGUGGGGAAUCUUGCACAAUGGAGGAAACUCUGAUGCAGCGAUGCCGCGUGAGUGAAGAAGGCCUUUGGGUUGUAAAGCUCUUUUGUAGGGGAAGAUAAUGACUGUACCCUAAGAAUAAGGUCCGGCUAACUUCGUGCCAGCAGCCGCGGUAAUACGAAGGGACCUAGCGUAGUUCGGAAUUACUGGGCGUAAAGCGCGCGUAGGCCGUUGAGUUAGUUAAUUGUGAAAUCCCAAAGCUUAACUUUGGAACUGCAAUUAAAACUGCUCGACUAGAGUUUGAUAGAGGAAAGCGGAAUACAUAGUGUAGAGGUGAAAUUCGUAGAUAUUAUGUAGAACACCAGUUGCGAAGGCGGCUUUCUGGAUCAACACUGACGCUGAGGCGCGAAAGUAUGGGUAGCAAAGAGGAUUAGAUACCCUCGUAGUCCAUACCAUAAACGAUGAUUGCUAGAUGUUGGAAAUUUUAUUUUCAGUAUCGCAGCUAACGCAUUAAGCAAUCCCGCCUGGGGAGUACGACCGCAAGGUUAAGACUCAAAUGAAUUGACGG
RNAcentral lists this ribosomal RNA (815 nucleotides) under uncultured bacterium. RNAcentral describes it as "bacterial SSU rRNA". It matches the Rfam family "Bacterial small subunit ribosomal RNA", at positions 54 to 916 of the family's 1533-position model. The record is from RNAcentral.